UAGAGGAAGUAAAAGUCGUAACAAGGUUUCCGUAGGUGAACCUGCGGAAGGAUCAUUAUUGAAAUAAACUGAUAGGUUGUUGCUGGUUCUCUAGGGAACAUGUGCACACUUGUCAUCUUUAUAUCUCCACCUGUGCACCUUUUGUAGACCUGGAUAUCUCUCUGAGUGCUUGCACUCAGGUUUGAGGAUUGACUUUUUUUGUCUCUUCUUACAUUUCCAGGUCUAUGUGUCUUCAUAUACUCUAAUGUAUGUUAUAGAAUGUAAUAAAUGGGCCUUUGUGCCUAUAAACCUAUACAACUUUCAGCAACGGAUCUCUUGGCUCUCGCAUCGAUGAAGAACGCAGCGAAAUGCGAUAAGUAAUGUGAAUUGCAGAAUUCAGUGAAUCAUCGAAUCUUUGAACACACCUUGUGCUCCUUGGUAUUCCGAGGAGCAUGCCUGUUUGAGUGUCAUUAAUAUACUCAACCUCUUCUUUGAGUGUUGGAUGUGGGGGUUACUUUUGCUGGCCUCUCUGAGGUCAGCUCCCCUGAAAUGUAUUAGCGGAACAAUUUGUGGACUGUUCAUUGGUGUGAUAACUAUCUACGCUAUUGACGUCAAGCAAUUCUGCUUCUAAUAGUCCAUUGACUUGGACAAAUUUCAUUAACAUGACCUCAAAUCAGGUAGGACUACCCGCUGAACUUAAGCAUAUCAAUAA
This 691-nucleotide ribosomal RNA is filed under the name Thaxterogaster caesiolamellatus. RNAcentral's name for it is "eukaryotic LSU rRNA". The stretch from base 296 to 449 matches the Rfam family "5.8S ribosomal RNA". Lineage: Eukaryota; Fungi; Basidiomycota; Agaricomycetes; Agaricales; Cortinariaceae. The record is from RNAcentral.